UACGUAGGGGGCAAGCGUUGUCCGGAAUCAUUGGGCGUAAAGAGCGUGUAGGCGGCUCGGUAAGUCCGCUGUAAAAGUCCAGGGCUCAACCCUGGAAAACCGGUGGAAACUGUCGAGCUAGAGUCCGGAAGAGGCGAGUGGAAUUCCUGGUGUAGCGGUGAAAUGCGCAGAUAUCAGGAGGAACACCAAUGGCGAAGGCAGCUCGCUGGGACGGUACUGACGCUGAGACGCGAAAGCGUGGGGAGCAAACAGG
This 253-nucleotide ribosomal RNA is filed under the name uncultured bacterium. Its description in RNAcentral is "partial 16S ribosomal RNA". It matches the Rfam family "Bacterial small subunit ribosomal RNA", at positions 524 to 776 of the family's 1533-position model. The record is from RNAcentral.